Long non-coding RNA from Lagenorhynchus albirostris (white-beaked dolphin), 476 nucleotides. RefSeq lists it as uncharacterized. The record is from RefSeq and is a predicted model, not a curated record. Lineage: Eukaryota; Metazoa; Chordata; Mammalia; Artiodactyla; Delphinidae. The transcript has 3 exons.
AGAAAACAUGCCUGUCAUCAUUAACAGCCAGUAACUACUACCUCUCACUAUGUAUACUGCAUCAGGCAAAGCUCUUUACAUUCAUAAUUUCACAGUAAAGCGCAUUGUGAACGUUGCAUGACUACAGAUGAGGUGGUUCUUCACCUUGUUGGGUCACAGAGCCUUCAAGGAGUCUAAGAAAGCUGUAGACCUUCUCUUCAGAAAAAUACUAAUAAGCUCAUUCACACUAAAAUGUAUAGAUGAUUUCAAAGAGAAGUCUGCAGUUACCUGAGGUGGCGCAGUGGUUAAGAAUCCGCCUGCCAAUGAAGGGGAUACGGGUUUGAGCCCUGGUCCAGGAAGAUCCCACAUGCCAUGGAGCAGGUAAGCCUGUGCACCACAACUACUGAGCCUGCGUUCUAGAGCCUGUGAGCCACAGCUGCUGAGCCCAUGUGCCACAACUACUGAAAUCCAUGCACCUACGGCUCGUGCUCCGCAAC